Hyla sarda is the source of this 521-nucleotide long non-coding RNA. RefSeq lists it as uncharacterized. The record is from RefSeq and is a predicted model, not a curated record. The transcript is spliced from 5 exons. NCBI's taxonomy places the organism in Eukaryota, Metazoa, Chordata, Amphibia, Anura, Hylidae.
AUAUAAGCGACGCGGCAGUCAUUUUAGUUCUCUUUGUUCCUGGGUUGCCAAGCGAGCAACAUCUCUCUAUAGAACCUGCGCUGCUAAAAAACCACUGAAAAAACAACAAUGUACGUUAAUGUCCCAAGGACUUAUCAGAGCAGACAGAAAGUUUCCUGUUAACCUUAUUGAAGAACAUUUGUGCAGGAAGUCUACAAGACUGGGGACAGAAAGCAAUAAUUUGCACUUAACUACCAGGCCAGUGUCUUACUUUGCCUUCAUGAAUUGAACUGAGCAACAGAUUCCAGACCUCCAUGAGGAUAAAUGGGACCGAUAGUGAUACUCUCUGCACUUAUGAAGGUUAUGUCCUUGGAGACGCUAUUCUAGGCUACCGAUGCUAUGCAGUGUUCCGGUUCCAGGACUGAAUCUAGAUACAAGUAAAAAUCCAUUCUUCCUGUUGCUCAUUCUUCAUCAGUUGGUUCCUACUACUGGAUGAGUUGACUUGCAUGUUCUGGACUUCCUUUUUCUUAUUUCUCUGGCUG